UGUGUGAUCCUAUAUGUGAUAAAGAUUGCAUGAAAAAUGAAGUUGUUGAAAAACUCAAGUCCAAACUAGGCGCUUGAUAAUUGACCAGGAAUUUAAAGUUGACAGCUGGAAAAUGGUGGGAUCAACUAUAAAUGAUUUGAUUAAUUAACAUUUUAGAAAGGAAAAUCUAAAUUCCCUUUCAUUUUCUUCAUUCAAUAUAAUUUGUUGUUUCUUUAUACAAAGGUUCUACCUUAUGUGUCGUUGGGUGCUUCUUUCGUCAUUAUUUUCAACAACGAGAUCAAUAAAGUUUAUUUACGCCUUUU
Long non-coding RNA from Cucumis sativus (cucumber), 302 nucleotides. RefSeq lists it as uncharacterized. The record is from RefSeq and is a predicted model, not a curated record. The transcript has 2 exons. Lineage: Eukaryota; Viridiplantae; Streptophyta; Magnoliopsida; Cucurbitales; Cucurbitaceae.